GACGAACGCUGGCGGCGUGCUUAACACAUGCAAGUCGAACGGAAAGGCCCUGCUUUUGUGGGGUGCUCGAGUGGCGAACGGGUGAGUAACACGUGAGUAACCUGCCCUUGACUUUGGGAUAACUUCAGGAAACUGGGGCUAAUACCGGAUAGGAGCUCCUGCUGCAUGGUGGGGGUUGGAAAGUUUCGGCGGUUGGGGAUGGACUCGCGGCUUAUCAGCUUGUUGGUGGGGUAGUGGCGUACCAAGGCUUUGACGGGUAGCCGGCCUGAGAGGGUGACCGGCUACAUUGGGACUGAGAUACGGCCCAGACUCCUACGGGAGGCAGCAGUGGGGAAUAUUGCACAAUGGGCGGAAGCCUGAUGCAGCAACGCCGCGUGCGGGAUGACGGCCUUCGGGUUGUAAACCGCUUUCGCCUGUGACGAAGCGUGAGUGACGGUAAUGGGUAAAGAAGCACCGGCUAACUACGUG
RNAcentral lists this ribosomal RNA (468 nucleotides) under uncultured bacterium. Its description in RNAcentral is "partial 16S ribosomal RNA". It matches the Rfam family "Bacterial small subunit ribosomal RNA", at positions 28 to 507 of the family's 1533-position model. The record is from RNAcentral.